UACGGAGGGUGCAAGCAUUAAUCGGAUUUAUUGGGCGUAAAGGGCGCGUAGGCGGGCGUACAAGUCAGAUGUGAAAUCCCGGGGCUCAACCCCGGAACUGCAUUUGAAACUGUACGUCUAGAGGGUAGGCGGAGAAAACGGAAUUCCACAAGUAGCGGUGAAAUGCGUAGAGAUCGGGAGGGACACCAGAGGCGAAAGCGGCGACCUGGACAGAUACUGACACUCAACUGCGAAAGCGUGGGGAGCAAACAGG
RNAcentral lists this ribosomal RNA (253 nucleotides) under uncultured bacterium. Its description in RNAcentral is "partial 16S ribosomal RNA". It matches the Rfam family "Bacterial small subunit ribosomal RNA", at positions 524 to 776 of the family's 1533-position model. The record is from RNAcentral.